RNAcentral lists this unclassified non-coding RNA (5550 nucleotides) under Leishmania donovani. RNAcentral's name for it is "gene:LdHU3.16.1740(CDS-product:OTU-like_cysteine_ protease_putative)". The record is from RNAcentral. Lineage: Eukaryota; Euglenozoa; Kinetoplastea; Trypanosomatida; Trypanosomatidae.
UAACGACAGAGCACGCCAGCGUAUAAGGGGGCGACCGCGCACGCAUCUGUAUAUCUAUAUACACCCACCCACCCACACACACACAUACACAGCGAUCGAUAUCGUGUCAGUGGGGCGGGCGAGAAAACAUCGAGAAGGGAUUUUUGUUUCGCCGCUGGAAAUACUCACACCUGCAACGACGCACGCGUACGCAUUCUUGCGAAGGCGCCCUGUCUCCCUCCCUUACCGCCGUGCAGCAGCUCUCCACUCCCUUCAGCUCUCCCUCUGCUGAGCCGUGCUGACUUAGUUUUUUGCUGUUCUCCCCCUCCCCACUCCUUUCUGCUUUCCCUUCCUUCUGACGUUCUGAAAACGAACCCACAAAACGUCCACAACGCGCAUCCCUCACGCACGCACCGAAAACACAUCCAGGAGCUCUCCCUCGCACGCGACACGCGCCCUUGGAAGUGGGUUCAGUGCUUGCGCGACUUCGAUGCGUCGAGGCCUCAUCGCUCUCGCUCGCCUGCCAACGCUCUCCCCCUCUUUUUUCCGUGCCUCGGAUUGCUGAUUGUUUCUUUUGGAUUAACCCUUGCCUUACAUACACAUAUAUUUAUUUAUUUAUCUUCCUCUGAAACGUCACUUCCGCUGCUGCUGCUGCUUCCCCCCUCCCCCUUCCCCUUUCCUGGGCUCUUUUACGGAAAGUGUCGCCUUUGCUGCACGUUAAGCCGGCCUCCCUCGUUGUUGGCACUGCCGCCACAACCACCCCAGCCGCCCCUCGCUUGUGCCGUCGCUGCCUAGCGUCCUUCCUCUCCGCCGACCCCCUCCAUCCCUCGUCGGCUGCGCGUCUGUUUAGCGUGUAUGUGCACGUGUGUCCUCGCUUGACUGGCACACGAGAGGCAACGUCGCUUACAGCAUUUCUGCAUAUGUGUGUAUGUAUACAUAUAUGAACAUACAUAUCUCUCUAUACACGGAACACGCCGGACACGUACACUAAACGCCCAGCGGCGUUCUUCGGGGCCAAGAAGUCGCCGUGAGUUGAUACUGUCAAGCGGCGCCAUGCUCAACUCACUCGUGGACAUGCCGGUGCCGGUGACGGUGCGCCCUCUGCGCAUGCUGGGCGGCGGCAGCUCCACCUCAAAGGACUGCAAGAACGGGCACCCGUCGCCACGCGGCAUGCAAAACGGACGCUCAUCGCCCUACAUGAGAAACACUCACGCGAGCGCAAGGGGCACCACCGGCCAAGCCGCCAGCGCCGCGAUGCCGCUCGUCGCCGACCCUCUCACUAACAUGAAGAGCACGGUGAUCAUGAGCUCGCCAACGCCGCCGCCACCACGGCCGACGAUCACCAUCUUCGCGGAUCUCGAAGACGACGUGGGGGCUGGUGGCCUGAGCUUCGGUAAAGCUAGCCGCGCCACGGUGAGCAGCGUGGCUGCGGGCGGUAGCUGUCGCCGCGUCGAGCACGACCCCCUCACCUUCACCCAGACCCUCUUGUCGCCUCACGGCUACAGCUCACUGUGUCAGCAUGCGAAAGCCGAAGUAGCGGCGGAAUCGGCGUUCUCAUCAUCGAGCGAGAGGGCAGGCAUAGAAGCGAUGCGGCGGAAGAGCGGCUCUCUCUUGCCGGCCGGUGGAGACCGCAGUCCUGAGAGGAUAUGUAGCGGCAGUUUCAGAGUGUUCAGCCCUGCCGACUCCGCUGAACUUGCCGCGCAGACGGACUCGAGUCUCCCUUCAGGGUUGCCGAAUGAUAUAUCGUGGUUUCACCGCCGGACGACAACGUACCCCGGGAGUGAGGAUGCGGAGCCGCAUCCCUUACGCAUCUCCGCGACACCCGUCGUGCCCAUCGUUCCGCACGUCGCCGAGCCAUCGUCGCGCAAACGUGUGGCGGAGGAUAUGCAGCGACUUUACGGUGGUACCGGUGCAGCAGCGGGGUCGAUCGCGGUGUGCUCUGCCAAAGAAGCAUCACAGGCGUCCACCUCUGUGGCAACAAGGGACGUGUCGUGGUCGAGCGGUUGUACAGGGAACACAACCGACGCCUCUCAGUCGCCGCGGCUGGCAGCUAAGAAAGACAAAAAGCUUUCCUUGCUCACCCCCUUCACCUCUUCCGCCUCCAAGAAGCCAACGAAGGUGGAAGACAAGACACCGCCGUCGACAGCGGCUGACCGACGGCAGGCGCGCGAGCAGAUCAUCCGGGUCGGAGUGCAGCGGCUGUACCAACGCCUCAACGAGCUGCGCCUGGUUGUCUACCGCGUCCGCAACGAUGGCAACUGCCAGUUCCGGGCCAUUUCGCACCAACUGUUUGGCAAUGAGGACUACCAUGACAUCAUCCGCAGCCAGAUCGUGUCCUACAUGCGGGCGGCACGAGCAAGAAGCUUCGACUACUACUUCGAGUCGCCUGCACAUGCAGACGCAUACUACCACAACUUAGCCAAGCCAGGGUCUUGGGGAGACGAGCUGUCGCUGCGAGCAGCGAGCGACUGCCUCUACGUGAAUAUCCAUGUCUUGUCCUCCGAGGAGCGCAACUGCUACAUCACCUAUCGCCCCUCGUCCGACUACGCCGCCUCGGCACCGUCGUUUCUCGUAGAUGUGUGGAAGCUGCGGGAGCGCCGCCGGGCCGAGCGUCGCCUUCUCCGCGCAUACGGGCCGCAACAGCAGCAGCAACAGCAGGGCCACAGCAGCAGCAACGCUUUCGGAGAUUCGCGGCAGGCGUCGUUGUACGCCGGCCCCCAAGGCAUCGGCAGCGAUGACGAGGGCGAGAUGGACGCCAACGCGAUCCAGCUGGCCCUGCACCGUAGGUUGCAGCAGUCCGAAAUCCGCUGCAGCUUGCCGCUCUCGGCGACGGGCAGCUACAACAGCAGCGGUGGCGGUGGUGGCUUCAGUCUCGGGGCGGCGACGAUGCCGCUCCUGCAGCCUCAGUCGACGACGAAGAAGCCUAGCCAACUAUUGACACCGGCGGCAGUGCCGGUUCCUCGCCUCUCUAGCGGCAACGAGGGCGCCUCAGAUGACGGCGCUGCGAAUCAGGUGGCGAAGUUCCGCGCUGUUGGUGCUGAGGUACAGUCACUCGAUAAGGCCACACAGGCCGUCAACAUCUUUACCCAACGAAAGGAGUCGGCCAACGCCUACAACACGAAUGAUGUUGCCGUCUGCUUUCCCCGCAAGCACAAUGAGGAUGCUACGCGUCCGCCGUUCGCUGGCACGGCGUCACUUGAGCUGUCACGCUCAUCGUCGCCUCACCCGCAGGCGCAACACCACGGCCUGACAAUGUCUGGCAGCACAACAGAAGAGGCGCCGGUCUCCGGUGGCACGCGGCGGGCCGACACCAUGACCUCCUUUCAGGCGCUUUCACCGACGAUGCGGCAAGGGGACGAGGCUGGCGAGGUCAUGCUCCUUGCGUCGAGCAUGCACCGCAGUCGAACGACUCAGUCGUUGCAGCGGAGCUUCUCUUGCAUGCAGAGAGCGAGCUCGGUAACCGGCCCUGCAGACCACUUCAACGGCCUCAACGCGCGAAGCAGCGCCCACGCACCUUCCGCCGGUGGUGGCGAGAGUGGUGCUAGCUCUCAGCUCCUCGGCAGCCUUGUCCCGCGUGCUGCGACAACUUCUUUCCGACUCGGCGCCGAUGAUGACGGUAGCCUGCCGAGUGGCUCGGAUGCUGGCAGUGGCGCUAAUCAGGGCGUCUGCUGCUUUUCUUUUGAGCCACGAACAGAGCCGAUCGACAUCUUCCUGUCGUACCUUUAUCCAGUACACUACAACUCGCUCAGUGUGAAACAGGAGCAGGAGCCGGCUGCUGGCACCGUGCCCACGGCUGAGGCGACGGCAACGCCUUCUACACCACCGCCGCCACAGUCGAGUGGGAAUGUCAGCGCUCGCUGAAGCGUGCGCGUAUAGGUUGGUGCGCGCGCCUUCUCCCCGUCCCUGGAGCCUACCUCCACGGCUUCCGCGCAGCAUCCAUGGCGCCCGCGUGUGUGCAGCGAUAGCGGCUCACUCUUCUCACUGUAUUCCUUUUCUCGCUCCCACAGAGAUGCAGCACGACGCCCCUCAAACCGUUCGCGAUGGGUGGGCUCGAGGUGGCUCUCCGUGACGUCCACGGCGGCCCUACCCCGGGCAUCGACAAGCCUGGCCGUGAAAGCCUCACGCACCUCCCCAUGCACGGCAAGAGAGCGCUGCCGAGCAUCCACAAUUAGAGCGUUGUCACCGGCCGCGUCCCUACUGCAUGAAAAGCGGGGCUCGGUGCGGGUCCUUCCUGAGGCCGCGCAACCCCGAUGAUGGUCCUGCAUCCUACCGUCUCUGUGACCCUUACCAGCCAUCUGCGCAAGCCACUUGAGCGAAUUGCCUCGCGACCACUGCGCAACUAUCUGCAAGACAAGUACCAGCUGGGGGGCACCAAGGCAGGCGCAGUGCUUGCGGACUCUAGGGCUCGCACGGUCGAGUAGGUCGAUCACGGCGUUAUCAUCACGGCGCUGAAGGCGUUCAAUGCAGCCCUGUGCCUUUCUCGCCGGGUCGUGGACUUGGCAGCCUGUCGUCGCGUCUUUGCUCGCUUCCUCGAGAACAGGUUGAAGAUGGCGAUGUGUGCAAGCGGAGUCACACAAGGAUCAGUCCCCUAGACCCCUUCCUCGUCACUGUAGUGGACUCGCUGACUGUGGAGCAGGGGGAGUGCUUGGGCUUCACCUGCUGCGAGGGCAAGUCCAUUACCCGAGGCACAGAAAAAAAAAAACAGGUAUGAAUGCCUUAACGGACUUGCUCUUCUUCCUCACGGCGAUCGACACGGAUCUCUUCUGCUUGACACACCCCGCACCUGUGAACAGGCGGGCGUGUCCAGAAGGCGCCGUGUCUCAUGCCGCCCCAGGUUCAGAGCAGCGUUCCACGUGUCGCGGCGCAUGCGGGCAGGCCAUCCAGACACACCUCACCAUGGCAUCGGCGGAAAUGGCAGAUGAAGGCAGCGAAUCUCUCAGUCGGCAACGCCGCCCUGAAGUAGGCCCCAGGACGCAGACAUGUGAGCACUGCGCACACGCGCUGUCAUGCAUAGCUGGCAUAGUGUGCCACAUCGAAGCAGAGCAUCCGGAGAGGUCAGCAGAGCAAGAGGGAUAGACGAGAGGGGCGCGAAGAGAUCCAUGCGAAUGAGCCCCACAGCGCAGGUGUGCGAAGAGCAUGCUACAUGCGCUAUAUCCCACCGGGUGGGCUGAUGAGGCAGCGAUGCCAGAAAUAUGACGAGAGGUACCCCAAGCUACACCAUCGAGUCCUCCAGAUGUCAAUGUGAAGAGUCUCCACACCACACUAUUCCAUGCCGCGGUUUGAAGCGACAGAGGGAGGCAUGGCAUACGGGCUGUGCACAGGGUCUCAGGGCCCUGGGCUCGUGCGGCAUGCACCUGGGGUUGCAGCCAAUAUAAUGUGAGCGGCUGUGAGGGGUGGGCGAGUGGGUAGAGUCUGAAGCAGAGGCCUUGCUGAGCUAAAUGAGUCGUUGCGUUGCUGUAACGCGUGUGUCUAGCGCUGCACUGCACCAGGCGAUGAGGGGCCUGCGGCAGGCCCAAGUGGGGGUCGAGUGGCGUUCAGCUCAUGCUGUAAAGCCGAGAAAUGGAGACGUUG